Molecule: long non-coding RNA, 565 nt
Organism: Oncorhynchus tshawytscha (Chinook salmon)
Lineage: Eukaryota; Metazoa; Chordata; Actinopteri; Salmoniformes; Salmonidae
Source: Ensembl
GUGAUUCAGAAGAGAGAGCAGACUUCCAUGAACGAUAUAUCAUCGAAGAGAUAUGUGAAAAACACCUUGAGGAAUGAUUCUAAACAACGUUUGCCAUGUUUCAGUCGAUAUUAUGGAGUUAAUUUGGAAAAAAGUUCGGCGUUUUGAUGACUGAAUUUUCGUUUUUUUUGGGUAGCCAACGUGAUGAACAAAACGGAGCGAUUUCUCAUACACAAAGAAUCUUUUUGGAAAAACUGAACAUUUGCUAUCUAACUGAGUCUCCUCAUUGAAAACAACCGAAGUUCUUCAAAGGACCUGAGCCCUAGGACCAUGCCUCAGGACCACCUGGCAUGAUGACUCCUUGCUGUCCCCAGUCCACCUGGCCGUGCUGCUGCUCCAGUUUCAACUGUUCUGCCUGUGAUUAUUAUUAUUUGACCAUGCUGGUCAUUUAUGAACAUUUGAACAUCUUGGCCAUGUUCUGUUAUAAUCUCCACCCAGCACAGCCAGAAGAGGACUGGCUACCCCACAUAGCCUGGUUCCUCUCUAGGUUUCUUCCUAGGUUUUGGCCUUUCUAGGGAGUUUUUCC